CCUACGGGAGGCAGCAGUUGGGAAUAUUGCACAAUGGGGGAAACCCUGAUGCAGCGACGCCGCGUGAGUGAAGAAGUAUUUCGGUACGUAAAGCUCUAUCAGCAGGGAAGAAAAUGACGGUACCUGACUAAGAUGCCCCGGCUAACUACGUGACAGCAGCCGCGGUAAUACGUUGGGGGCAAGCGUUAUCCGGAUUUCCUGGGUCUAAAGGGAGCGUAGACGGCAGUGCAAGUCUGGAGUGAAAUCCCAUGGCUUAACCAUGGAACUGCUUUGGAAACUGUGCAGCUAGAGUGCAGGAGAGGUAAGCGGAAUGCCUAGUGUAGCGGUGAAAUGCGUAGAUAUUAGGAGGAACACCAGUGGCGAAGGCGGCUUACUGGACUGUAACUGACGUUGAGGCUCGAAAGCGUGGGGAGCAAACAGGAUUAGAUACCCGAGUAGUC
RNAcentral lists this ribosomal RNA (440 nucleotides) under uncultured bacterium. RNAcentral describes it as "partial 16S ribosomal RNA". It matches the Rfam family "Bacterial small subunit ribosomal RNA", at positions 338 to 795 of the family's 1533-position model. The record is from RNAcentral.